CUCUUUUACAAUCUCUUCCAUGUUGGUAAGCACCAGGUCCAGCAACGCUUCACCUCUUGUUGGUCUGUCCAUUACCUAAACCAGAAAGAUAUUGUCAGUGGACUCCAAGAGUCUCCUGGGUCACUUGCAGAUCACAAUGUUGUUUUCUAGCAGAUAUCUGAGUGGUUGAAAUCUCCCAUCCAGAUGAGAACCCGUGAGCACAAUGCCUCUUGCAGCUGAAGCAAGAAGGCCUUGUCAACAGCUCCCCUUGAUCAGGCAGCUUGGAGUAGACCCUGACCACCAGAUGCCCUUUACUGGCCCUGUCCCUAAUCUUAACCCACAAGCUCUUAACCUGUUCCUGACUGUUUCUCAGGGGCAGCUCUCAGCAGAUUAUCCACUUCUUAACAAGAAGAGGGCCACUCCCCCACCUCUCCAAUUUGCCUAUCCCUUCUAAAAAGUUUACAGCCCUCAAUCAUGGUAUUCCUCUUGUGAGUCAUCCCACCGUGUUUCCAUGAUAGCAAUAAGAUUGUAGUUUUCCAAUUGCACCACAGUUUCCAAUUCCUCCUGCUUACUUCCCAUGAUGUGUGCAUUGGUACAGAGGCAUUUCAGCUGAAAGUGCCAAAGGUCACAUCUCUGUUUGCCUUGGACCCUUUAUAGAUACAGAUAUAAAACCAGAUAAAUAUGACUGUUUGGAGCUAAAUGCGUGUGCUGCAAGAGUGUGUUAUUAAUGAGAAAAAAGCCUGAAGGCACAGUGACUCCUAGCUCAUGGCCAGCAGACCAUUGCUGUUGUUCUGGGGAAGCAAAUGGGAAAAGCAGAGCCAGCCAAGGAGCAGACAGCCUACACAGGGAUGGAUUUUGCUCCUGGCCCUUUCUCAGGCAAGGCGAGAGCUUUUCCUGAGUGCAACCCACAAGACUGGAUCCACAGCUCCUCCGCCUGCAGCACUUCAAGACUUCCAGGUUGGAGACAAUGCGUCUGGAAAUUUGGGGCACUUCAGACUGGCCUUUGAUCACCAGAGAUCAAGAGUAUUUCCACCCAUACAAGAUGCAAACAUGAUCUCUGCUGUUGUGACACAAGCUGGGGUGAGCUGUCCUUCCAGCUCCUUCUGCAAAAGUGCCAAGAGCAUGACAAGUGGGGUCCAACAUACUGGUUUUGGCCAGCUCUCCCCAAAGCCAACAGGAGCCUUGAGUCAGGCCACAGGUAGGCGCAGGGCUUUGAGCAAGCUUAAAAAAAUAAAUAAUUACCCAUCCCUGUCCUCAUGGGGAUGCCUCUCAGAUCUUCCUGCAGCUUUCUUCACAGCUUGUUUGGAGCAUUAUGUAGUCUGACCCAAAUUCCAAGAGCACCAUCAGGACAGUUCUCCAGCUGAUGCCGUGGAUGCUCAGUUAGACUACGACACUACCACAGCAGCUUGUAAAUUUGUUUUUCUUCUUUUCGUAGGAGCUUCCAAUGACUCAAAGAGCAAUCAUUGGAUGAUAUAUCAAACUCCAACUGCUAGAUAAAGAAGAGAAAUCGGAGUGCCUGCAAGGAUACCAGCUAUUGUUGUAUCAUCAUAGCUCUUCUGUAACAUUUUCUUCUCAUGAGGUGAUAUGAAGUGCAUGGAGAGGAGUAAGUUAUAAAGUUGUACUAAUGUGAUUGUUUGGGAUGUUAAAACAAAGUCAACAAUUCCUUUACAAACCAUCCCAGCUUCUGGGCAGAUAUCCCUGGAAGCUUCAGGAGUCCUCUUUGAUCCUGGCUGCCCCAUAAAGAAACAUCGUUUAUACUGAAUUAAUUAGCUGCCACUUAACCCUGGCGCCAAGAGUUGAUGUCAUGAGGCAAAACAAAAUGGAGCUAAUGAAAUCAAUAACAUCAUUAAAAUAACUCACAGCAGAGUUACUGACUGCCGUGCCGACUGUGCUUAUGGACCAAUUGCUCAGCACGUAAAGGGACUUCUGCAAGAACAUGUUCAAGCUAUGAAUGGCAGCCAGCAGCCAACUUGACAUCACUCUGCUCAGGUGAGCUUUUCCAGGACUGCACAGGGAGGUUGCAUGGGCACAGCCUUGGCCUGGAAGUGUCAGAUUGGUUUGGACAGAUGGCAGUAAGGAGUAGAGGGCAAGGUGCUCCCAAAGCAAAUUUCUGAGUGGGAGUUUUAAGCAGGAAGGUACAUUUAGGUAGAGCUUUUCUACUAUUAAUGAAGCUAGAGUAAGACAUUACUAGGAACAAUGCACACCAUGCACAGGAACAAGCUGACCUGGAAAGAUUAAUCUGUCCCUGAAGGCCUGAAGCAUCUUGGUUGGCUGCUGAGAAGCUGAAGCCCUGAUCAACAGUGCUUAAAGAGCAUGGACCACAGUGAGCUCUGGCUCAGUGAGAACUUCUUGAUGCUGUGCUUGCAGGCCUGAGCCCCCAUCAUUGGAAACACACUGUAAUGUCAAUGCUUAAUUGAAUGAAAGAUCUAACUGCAUGCUUCUUACACAGAAUUUCCAAAUGUUUGCAAAGUCUAAGCCCCCUCACUGUGCAAAGAUAUAAUAGAUACCGUCAAAAAGUCUUAAGACAGACAAACAGCAAUGGAGCCUGAACGGUUACUUCAUGUGUGAGAACGUCAGGCUGUGACCUGCAGGAAAAGAGAGGGCAUGAGGGAGCCAGAUGGCUGAGUGACCCCAGUGCUGUUCCCAGAAGAAGCAGGAGCAGGCAAGGAAAAAUCUGGUGGCUGGAAGGAAAAGUGAGCCCUAGGCAGGUCCCUCCAUGCUCUGGGUCUCUACUGUUCCCUCUCCCACCAGCCCCCUUUUCUCCUCUGAGCCAGCUUCUCAUCAUACCAGACUGCCCAACUCCCACUCCCCCACCAUCUCAUCCACCACAGCUGCAAUUUUCCAACUCCGUGCUGGAAUCCGGCAGUGUUUUGCACCUGGAAGGCUGCAUCUGACACCCACCUGUGAGGCAUCAGUCCAUGAAGACUGGGGCUCUGCUUUGGUUUUGCGGUCACUGCUGCUAAUGCGAGAAAACGGACAGGGCAAAAAACAGGAGAUAAAAGGCAGUCAAAGCACUGCUGAAAAAAUACCAGAUAGUUGUAACUCUUAGGACUAACCUUCGGUGUCAGAGGAGUCAAUGCCUCUAUUUUGAAAGGAUGAGCCAUUUUGCGGGUAUAACAGCAAUGCACUUCAUAAUCCCUUCCAUAUUUGGCUUUAUUGGCUUAUUGUGCAGAGCUAUUAGAAUCAGGAUCAUCUCUUAUGAAGCUGUUAAUGGGAUGCAAAUUGCAUGAAAGAUUUCUCCGCAUCAAUAGAAAACAACCUAGUAAUAAGUUAUUGCAUAAAAAUCUGCAUAAAAAUCUGCUACAAAAGAAAUACUUCUAAAGAAGCAAAAAAUCCUGCGUGACUGAGGAGGAAAUAUGCUUUACAAAGUGCAAAUGAGUACUGGUUUUAGAGGUAAAGGUGACCUACCUCAGAGCUGCUCAUAUCCCAAAGAACAGCUGUGCCCUAGCUACCCAUGUAUAGUGAAACAGUGCUUCACACAACAUCAUGGCUACGGCCAGGUAAAAAACAGUGUGAUGAAUGUUUUAAGCACUGAUAGAUGCAAGUUCAGGCUGACCAAACCUGCAUCUGUGCUGAAUUCAGCAAGGAGCUGUGGCCAAAAUAUGUACAUUUGAAUAAAAUGAAAAGUCUAAUCAGCUCUCUGUAUGUGAUGCACUCCUACUUUUCAUGCUGACACGAUGUUUUGAGACUAGAAUUGGACUUACAGUGAGCUAGAAACACCUAAAACCAGCAUUAAGUGCUGAUCAGUAAGUCAAGAGAAAUAUUGUGCUGAGUCUGUCACAUCGCUUUGCUGUUUGUUUUUCCUUUUUGGUGUUGACAUCAAUGUGACUGUGAUUUCAGCUGUGGUUUCCAGAGAGCACUGCAGCGUGCCUGCGGCUGGAAGGAGCCUUUUGCUGCCAUUCAGCCCAUGCCACCUAGCACAACCACGGGGCACUACUGCUUCUCCCACGUGGCGUACACCCCGCUCCCCCGAGCAUCAGAGCCUCCAGCACAUCACACACCAUCACUCUCCCACAUUAUGCCACAGAAAUGCUCUUUGGUCUCCUGUUUAACGUCCAGCACCAAAGCAGUGGGAAAUACCAGACCACGCAGUACCCGGUGACCUGUCCCAGUAGAACUGAGCUGCCCUGGGUACACCUGCUCUGCAAAACCUAGAGGACAGAAGAGAAAAGCCACAUUUCUGGGAUUCCUUCUUCCACCCAAAUUCCCUACGUGCAACAGGAGCCAGGGGACUGCAGCCUGGGAUGCUGCUCUGUCUCAAGCCCAAGGGGCCAGGCUUUUCCUGAAAUAACAUCCACCUCUUGCUUUGCCGCCUG
Molecule: long non-coding RNA, 4295 nt
Filed under: Gallus gallus (chicken)
Lineage: Eukaryota; Metazoa; Chordata; Aves; Galliformes; Phasianidae
Description: lncRNA (ENSGALG00010010802.1)
Source: RNAcentral